Long non-coding RNA from Octopus sinensis (East Asian common octopus), 123 nucleotides. RefSeq lists it as uncharacterized. Lineage: Eukaryota; Metazoa; Mollusca; Cephalopoda; Octopoda; Octopodidae. The record is from RefSeq and is a predicted model, not a curated record. The transcript has 2 exons.
AGGUACUGAGCAGAAAGCAAUCAGAGACAAUGCAGAUAAAUUAUAUGAUGCAAAUAUUAUUACUAAGAUUUUGAAAUUUGCAGCAACACUGCUUGUUAUUGGCCAUUUUCAUUAAGGAUUUCG